Molecule: ribosomal RNA, 471 nt
Filed under: uncultured bacterium
Lineage: Bacteria
Description: bacterial SSU rRNA
Rfam family: Bacterial small subunit ribosomal RNA
Source: RNAcentral
UGCCAGCAGCCGCGGUAAUGCGGGAGUGGCAAGCGUUAUCCGGAAUUAUUGGGCGUAAAGCGUCCGCGGGCGGUUUUACAAGUCUGUCGUUAAAGCGUGGAGCUCAACUCCAUUUCAGCGAUGGAAACUGUAAGACUCGAGUGUGGUAGGGGCAGAGGGAAUUCCCGGUGUAGCGGUGAAAUGCGUAGAUAUCGGGAAGAACACCAGUGGCGAAAGCGCUCUGCUGGGCCAUAACUGACGCUCAUGGACGAAAACCAGGGGAGCGAAGGGGAUUAGAUACCCCUGUAGUCCUGGCCGUAAACGAUGAACACUAGGUGUCGGGGGAAUCGACCCCCUCGGUGUCGUAGCCAACGCGUUAAGUGUUCCGCCUGGGGAGUACGCACGCAAGUGUGAAACUCAAAGGAAUUGACGGGGGCCCGCACAAGCGGUGGAGUAUGUGGUUUAAUUCGAUGCAACGCGCAGAACCUUACC